GGGCCUUUAGGUCAGUUGGUUAGACCCUCCGGCUCAUAACCGGAAUGUCCUGGGUUCAAGCCCCAGAGGGCCCA
Molecule: transfer RNA, 74 nt
Filed under: Caudoviricetes sp.
Lineage: Duplodnaviria; Heunggongvirae; Uroviricota; Caudoviricetes
Description: tRNA-Met
Rfam family: tRNA
About the family: Transfer RNA (tRNA) molecules are approximately 80 nucleotides in length. Their secondary structure includes four short double-helical elements and three loops (D, anti-codon, and T loops). Further hydrogen bonds mediate the characteristic L-shaped molecular structure. tRNAs have two regions of fundamental functional importance: the anti-codon, which is responsible for specific mRNA codon recognition, and the 3' end, to which the tRNAs corresponding amino acid is attached (by aminoacyl-tRNA synthetases). tRNAs cope with the degeneracy of the genetic code in two manners: having more than one tRNA (with a specific anti-codon) for a particular amino acid; and 'wobble' base-pairing, i.e. permitting non-standard base-pairing at the 3rd anti-codon position.
Source: RNAcentral